AUGGCCAACGCUCAUGUCAACAUGAACUUCAACGCGUUCCUAGAGAAAACCAAGCUGAAAGAUGAUGGCAGCAACUAUACGGACUGGGUCCGGAACCUGAGGAUCAUCCUCAUAGCUGCCAGGAAACAAUAUGUCCUAGAAGGACCGCUAGGUGACGCUCCCGUCCCAGAGAACCAAGACAUUAUGAAUGCUUGGCAGUCUCGUGCUGAUGAUUACUCCCUCGUUCAGUGCGGCAUGCUUUACAGCUUAGAACCGGGGCUCCAAAAGCGUUUUGAGCACCACGGAGCAUAUGAGAUGUUCGAAGAGCUGAAACUAGUUUUUCAAGCUCAUGCCCGGGUCGAGAGAUAUGAUGUCUCCGACAAGUUCUACAGUUGUAAGAUGGAGGAAAACAGUUCUGUCAGUGAGCACAUCCUGAAGAUGUCUGGGUUGCACAAACGUAUGACCCAGCUGAACAUUAACCUCCCAGAUGAGGCGGUCAUUGACAGAAUCCUCCAGUCGCUCCCACCAAGCUACAAGAGCUUUGUGAUGAACUACAACAUGCAGGGGAUGGAAAAGACCAUUCCUGAAGUGUUCUCGAUGCUGAAGUCAGCAGAGGCUGAAAUCAAGAAAGAACAUCAAGUGUUGAUGGUCAAUAAGACCACUAAGUUCAAGAAGGGCAAGGGUAAGAAGAACUUCAAGAAGGACGGCAAAGAUGUUGCCGCGCCUGGUAAGCCAGUUACCGGGAAGAAGUCAAAGAAUGGACCCAAGCCUGAGACUGAGUGCUUUUAUUGCAAGGGGAAGGGUCACUGGAAGCGGAACUGCCCCAAAUACUUAGCGGAUAAGAAGGCCGGCAACACCAAAGGUAUAUUUGAUAUACAUGUGAUUGAUGUGUACCUUACCAGUACUCGUAGUAACUCCUGGGUAUUUGCUACCGGUGCCGUUGCUCAUAUUUGUAACUCACAGCAGGAGCUGCGGAAUAAACGGAGACUGGCAAAGGACGAGGUGACGAUGCGCGUCGGGAAUGGUUCCAGAGUCGAUGUGAUCGCCGUCGGCACGCUGCCUCUACAUUUACCUAUGGGAUUAGUUUUGAACCUUAAUAAUUGUUAUUUAGUGCCAAGUUUGAGCAUGAACAUUGUAUCUGGAUCUCGUUUAAUACGAGAUGGCUACUCAUUUAAGUCUGAGAAUAAUGGUUGUUCGAUUUAUAUGAGAGAUAUGUUUUAUGGUCAUGCUCCGAUGGUCAAUGGUUUAUUCUUAAUGAAUCUCGAGCGUAAUAUUACACAUGUUCAUAGUGUAGAUGCCAAAAGAUUUAAAGUUGAUAACGAUAGUCCCACAUACUUGUGGCACUGCCGCCUUGGUCACAUUGGUGUCAAGCACAUGAAGAAGCUCCAUGCCGAUGGACUUUUAGAGUCUCUUGAUUAUGAAUCGUUUGACACGUGCGAACCAUGCCUUUUGGGCAAAAUGACCAAGACUCCGUUCUCCGGAACAAUGGAGCGAGCAACCAACUUGUUGGAAAUCAUACAUACCGAUGUGUGCGGUCCAAUGAGCGUUGAGGCUCGCGGAGGAUAUCGUUAUGUUCUCACUCUCACAGAUGACUUGAGUAGAUAUGGGUAUGUCUACUUAAUGAAACACAAGUCUGAGACCUUUGAAAAGUUCAAGGAAUUUCAAAAUGAGGUAGAGAAUCAACGUGACCAAAAGAUAAAAUUCUUACGAUCAGAUCGUGGAGGAGAAUACUUAAGUCACGAAUUUGGUACACACUUAAGGAAAUGUGGAAUCGUUUCACAGCUCACGCCGCCUGGAACACCUCAGCGAAACGGUGUGUCCGAACGUCGUAAUCGCACCCUAUUGGAUAUGGUGCGGUCUAUGAUGUCUCUUACCGAUUUACCGCUAUCAUUUUGGGGAUACGCUCUAGAGACAGCUACAUUCACUUUAAAUAGGGCACCGUCUAAAUCCGUUGAGACGACACCGUAUGAAUUAUGGUUUGGAAAGAAACCUAAGCUGUCGUUUCUAAAAGUUUGGGGAUGCGAUGCUUAUGUCAAGAAACUUCAACCUGAAAAGCUCGAACCCAAGUCGGAAAAAUGCGUAUUCAUAGGAUACCCUAAGGAAACUGUCGGGUAUACCUUCUACUUAAGAUCCGAAGGCAAGAUCUUUUAUGCCAAGAACGGAUGCUUUCUGGAAAAAGAGUUUCUCUCGAAAGAAGUAAGUGGGAGGAAAGUAGAACUCGAUGAAGUACUACCUCUUGAGCGGGAAAGUGGCGCAGCGUAG
Molecule: ribosomal RNA, 2241 nt
Filed under: Triticum aestivum (bread wheat)
Lineage: Eukaryota; Viridiplantae; Streptophyta; Magnoliopsida; Poales; Poaceae
Description: partial small subunit ribosomal RNA
Source: RNAcentral